UACGUAGGGUGCGAGCGUUGUCCGGAAUUAUUGGGCGUAAAGAGCUCGUAGGCGGUCUGUCGCGUCGGUCGUGAAAACUUGGGGCUUAACCCUGAGCUUGCGGUCGAUACGGGCAUGACUGGAGUUCGGCAGGGGAGACUGGAAUUCCUGGUGUAGCGGUGAAAUGCGCAGAUAUCGGGAGGAACACCAGUAGCGAAGGCGGCACUCUGGGCCGUGACUGACGCUGAGGAGCGAAAGCGUGGGUAGCAAACAGG
Molecule: ribosomal RNA, 254 nt
Filed under: uncultured bacterium
Lineage: Bacteria
Description: partial 16S ribosomal RNA
Rfam family: Bacterial small subunit ribosomal RNA
Source: RNAcentral